ACAUUAUCUUCAUCCUGAAAGAUCAAUCUAGACAUUCUGACUUCUCUCUUGAUUAGAUGACUCCUCCCAGGACCUCCAUUUAAGAAUAUUUUCCUUGCUUUUGUUGCGAUGAUGUUGAUAUAAAAGCAGAAUAAAGAUUGAAGAAGGAUGAAAAAGUAUAAAGAAGAACCACUAGAAAGAAAAGGGGGAGGAUUUAAAUGCUAAGUAUUGCCACUCCAACUUCCUUCAAAGUCAGCAGAUUCCUUUUUUGUAUGAGUCCAUCCAUACUUUGACACCUUUCUGCAGAAUAUUACGUGAAGUCCAGUCCUUUAUUGGCUCUACCAUGUCAUCUCUCAAGAAUAAUAGAUUGUUAAGAGUAAUAAAUUUAUACCAUAACAUGCCAUAUAGUAGAGUGAGAAGAGCAAUUGAUUUGACAUUAAAAGUCUUAUAUUCAGAUCUCAGCUUGUCCACUCACUGAUUUUGUAACCUCAGACAGGUUACUUCGUCUUUGCAAAGACUUAGUCUCAUCUGCAAAACAAGAGAUCAAAUUAAAUGAUUUCUAAGAUUUGUUCUAAUGCUUAUGAUCUAUGGCCCUGUAAAUGUGAAUGGGACAGUGCUUAGCACAAUGUUUUGUACCUAAUAAAUGUUUAAUAAAGGCUAGUGGACUGAUUGCU
RNAcentral lists this long non-coding RNA (653 nucleotides) under Monodelphis domestica (gray short-tailed opossum). RNAcentral describes it as "lncRNA (ENSMODG00000033411.2)". The record is from RNAcentral. Lineage: Eukaryota; Metazoa; Chordata; Mammalia; Didelphimorphia; Didelphidae.